CAAGCGUGAGGUAAGAGCAUUUGGUGGAUGCCUUGGCAUGUACAGGCGAUGAAGGACGUGGCACGCUGCGAUAAGCGUCGGGGAGUUGUGAGCAAACUUUGAUCCGGCGAUUUCCGAAUGGGGAAACCCACCUUCACCAUUUCUCUUAGUUGCUGAGAAAUCAGUAAGUGAGUGAGGUGGAUAAGGUAUCACUAAGCUGAAUAAAAUAGGCUUUGGUGAAGCGAACCCGGGGAACUGAAACAUCUCAGUACCUGGAGGAAAAGACAUCAACCGAGAUUCCGUUAGUAGUGGCGAGCGAACGCGGACCAGGCCAGUGCCCUAUCUUCAACUAGCAGAACACUUUGGAAAGAGUGGCCAUAGCGGGUGACAGCCCCGUAUGCAAAAGUGAUGGAUAGGGACUUGAGUAGGGCGGGACACGUGAAAUCCUGUCUGAACAUAGGGGGACCACCCUCUAAGCCUAAAUACUCGUACAUGACCGAUAGCGAACUAGUACCGUGAGGGAAAGGUGAAAAGCACCCCGAUGAGGGGAGUGAAACAGUACCUGAAACCGAAUGCUUACAAGCAGUUGGAGCCUCUUUAGGGGGUGACAGCGUACCUCUUGCAUAAUGGGUCAGUGACUUAAUGUACCAUGCGAGCUUAAGCCGUUAGGUGUAGGCGCAGCGAAAGCGAGUCUGAAUAGGGCGACAGAGUAUGGUGUAUUAGACCCGAAACCCGGUGAUCUAGGCAUGACCAGGCUGAAGGUGCGGUAACACGCACUGGAGGGCCGAACCGUUCAAUGUUGAAAAAUUGUCGGAUGAGUUGUGUUUAGGGGUGAAAGGCCAAUCAAACCGGGAAAUAGCUGGUUCUCCGCGAAAUCUAUUGAGGUAGAGCGUCGGAUGUAUGCCGUUGGGGGUAGAGCACUGGAUGGUUGCGGGGGUCGCGAGAUCUACCAAUACUAACCAAACUCCGAAUACCAACGAGACUUAUCCGGCAGACAGACGGCGGGUGCUAAGGUCCGUCGUCAAAAGGGAAACAGCCCUAACCUACAGCUAAGGUCCCCAAGUCAUCACUAAGUGGGAAAGCAUGUGGGAAUCCCAAAACAACCAGGAGGUUGGCUUAGAAGCAGCCAUCCUUUAAAGAAAGCGUAACAGCUCACUGGUCUAAACAAGGGUUCCUGCGGCGAAGAUGUAACGGGGCUAAAGUGAUGCACCGAAGCUUAGGGUGUGGUUCAUUGAACCACGCGGUAGCGGAGCGUUCCGUAGGCCGUUGAAGCGAUCUGGUAAUGGGUCGUGGAGGUAUCGGAAGUGCGAAUGCUGACAUGAGUAGCGAUAAGGAGUGUGAGAUGCACUCCCGCCGAAAGACCAAGGGUUCCUGCUUAAAGCUAAUCUGAGCAGGGUGAGCCGGCCCCUAAGACGAGCCCGAAGGGGGUAGUCGAUGGGAACCACGUUAAUAUUCGUGGGCCUGGUGGUGUGUGACGGAUCACGUAGAUUGUUCGGCCUUAUUGGAUUGGUCGGGCCUUUGAGUGGUUCCAGGAAAUAGCCCCACCGUAUAGACCGUACCCGAAACCGACACAGGUGGUCAGGUAGAGUAUACCAAGGCGCUUGAGAGAAGUAUCCUGAAGGAACUCGGCAAAUUGCCUCCGUACCUUCGGAAGAAGGAGGCCCCAUAGUUGCGCAAGCAGUUGUGGGGGGCACAGGCCAGGGGGUAGCGACUGUUUAGCAAAAACACAGGACUCUGCUAAGUCGGCUUCAAGACGACGUAUAGGGUCUGACGCCUGCCCGGUGCCGGAAGGUUAAGAGGAGGAGUGCAAGCUCCGAAUUGAAGCCCCGGUAAACGGCGGCCGUAACUAUAACGGUCCUAAGGUAGCGAAAUUCCUUGUCGGGUAAGUUCCGACCUGCACGAAUGGCGUAACGACUUCCCCACUGUCUCCAGGAUAUGCUCAGCGAAAUUGAAUUCUCCGUGAAGAUGCGGAGUACCCGCGGUUAGACGGAAAGACCCCGUGCACCUUUACUGCAGCUUCAGAGUGGCAUUAGGAAAGAAUUGUGUAGCAUAGGUGGGAGGCUUUGAAGCGUCGGCGCCAGCUGACGUGGAGCCAUAGGUGAAAUACCACCCUGUUGUUUUCUGAUGUCUAACCCAGGACCGUUAUCCGGUUCGGGGACCCUCUGUGGCGGGUAGUUUGACUGGGGCGGUCGCCUCCUAAAGAGUAACGGAGGCGCGCGAUGGUAGGCUCAGGCCGGUUGGAAACCGGCUGUUAGAGUGCAAUGGCAUAAGCCUGCCUGACUGCGAGAUCGACGGAUCGAGCAGAGACGAAAGUCGGUCAUAGUGAUCCGGUGGUCCCUUGUGGAAGGGCCAUCGCUCAACGGAUAAAAGGUACGCCGGGGAUAACAGGCUGAUGAUUCCCAAGAGCUCAUAUCGACGGAAUCGUUUGGCACCUCGAUGUCGGCUCAUCACAUCCUGGGGCUGGAGCAGGUCCCAAGGGUUUGGCUGUUCGCCAAUUAAAGUGGUACGUGAGCUGGGUUCAGAACGUCGCGAGACAGUUUGGUCCCUAUCUGCCGUGGGCGUCGAUACUUGAGAGGAGUUGUCCCUAGUACGAGAGGACCGGGAUGAACAUGCCUCUGGUGUACCUGUCGUUCCGCCAGGAGCGCAGCAGGGUAGCUAUGCAUGGACGGGAUAACCGCUGAAAGCAUCUAAGCGGGAAGCCUCCCUCAAGAUAAGGUAUCUUCGAGUCGUGAUAGACCAUCACGUUGAUAGGCCGGGUGUAGAAGUGGGGUAACCCAUGGAGCUAACCGGUCCUAAUAACUCUGAUCAUGCUUGAC
This 2795-nucleotide ribosomal RNA is filed under the name Hygrophorus pudorinus. Its description in RNAcentral is "bacterial LSU rRNA". It matches the Rfam family "Bacterial large subunit ribosomal RNA". Lineage: Eukaryota; Fungi; Basidiomycota; Agaricomycetes; Agaricales; Hygrophoraceae. The record is from RNAcentral.